CUCUUUCUUCUUGUGUGGUCUCGCAAGCCUUUCAGGAAACGCUCAUGCCCUCCAUACAGUAACCUUCGAUAUCUGCGUUUUGUUUUUCUUCUAGGAAUGUGAAACCCUUUGUGAUUUCUCCACCACAUACUCUCAGCAGCAGUAAGAAUAUAAAUCAUUGUCCUCUCUGUCUUUUUGCAUUUUUUUCUCCCGCUCAUGCCUUCAUGCUUUCCAACACCCAAUGAAGGAUUUUUACUUAUGUGUUUGUUUUUCCUUUGUUUGCUGGCAGGUCGCCCCUGUGCCCAGGAUCUGGGGAAAAGGGCAGAGAAUGAACAUGGAAUACUUCCGAGGCUUGGGUGACCCACAUUUUGACUCCUCCCCUGGGGCAAGAAGAACCACAUUACCUUCCCAUUCAGGAUAUUCAGCCUAGAAGCCUGGGUGCCUUUGAGUGUGCCCUCACGCUCCUCAGAGGACAUUCAGCCUUCUCGAUAUUCUCGUCUGUCCACGGACUGUGGAAGAUUCCAGAGUGCAUGUCUGGUGUAUGGAAGCUUUGAGCAAUUUGUCCAGGAUUAUUUCUUGGUCAGAGUCCGCCCCCUGAAGUUUGAGAAAGGUAAGUACAGCACAGCCCACUACCUUCUCAAUAAAAGACAAACUCUCUUUCCACUACGGAAUCGCUUGAAAGGACACAGAUUUAGGAAUCUUGCUAAAAUCUGCAUCAGUCUGAGAGACCUUCUAGGUGCUUCCUCAGCCCCUUUAUUUGUUCUGAAAGAGACAGAGCAACUUGGAGAAAAUUUAUCUUUACAAAAUUUCUAGUUACAGAUCUGGAAGAGCUAAUCCAAUAUUCGACCAGGCAAAGUCUAAACACGAUUCCAUUCUAUAUUAAGUGUGAAACCUUCCAACAGUGGGAUUUCUUAUUCUGCAUGCCUGUUAUAUUCUUAUAUCCUGACACAAGAUUGGAAUGAGCAUGUCGAGGUCUUUAUCUUCCUUGACUCUUGCAUCUUUGAAAUCUCUCUCAAAUUGAUUGGAAGCCCCGUUCUCCUGAUUUCCUUUCUACUUCACAAGCUGCUCCUUCUCAUUUGCCUUUCCUGGAUUUUCCUCCUCUCUUUAUGUCUAGAUGAUGAUGCCCGGGCUCAGUUCUUGAACUUCCUCACUUCUGCCCUGUACUCACUAGGUGAUUUCAUUGGGUCCUAUAGCUUUAAGCACUAUCUUUAGCCCAAUAGACUAGUGAACCCAGCAGCCACCUUGACAUCUCAAAUUGGAGGUCUUGUAGGCAUCUCAAAGACCUGAAGCAGCUGGCCAGCAUGAGUUUGGACAGCCCUGGGGCCUCUGAGAUCAAGGAAAUGAAUCAAGGGGACUUCCAACGUUAAGAUAACUCAUGCCUUCUCCAAUUUAGACACACACACACACAAACACCACAUUUAUUUAUAUUUAACCAUGGCUACAUGGAUAUGGUUUCAGGACUCAAAAAACUGUGAUUUCCUGCUUCUCAGGGAAAAUCUGUUAAUUAUUUUAUCUUAUUCUUGUGAUAGUUAUUUCCAUAUUUCUAAGUUUCAUGAUUAUAGUGUUAUAUCUUGUUUUCUCAGUUUAAUUGAUUUCCAAACACAAAGAAAGAAGAUUUAGAUCUCUUCUGCCAUCUUCCCAGCUAGACAUCCUAUUCCCAAAUACUUAUAUUGUUAUUAUGUUGGUUAAAACAAAUCACUUUACGUGAUUGGUAUUCUGUAUAUUCUAUUCAUAGCUGAGCUAGAUGAUAUGUUUAAUUUUUUUUUCUGCACAUUUUGAUUCUGUAAGAUGUAACACUUUUUUCCCCAUUUGUUUGGAUUUCUGUAUUCUCAUCAAAAAUUAAUCCCAACACCCCCCCAGGUGUGUAAAUCUCUUCUAAAUAACACUUGGAUCUAUUAGGUGUCCUAUUAUUUUCAUCUUCUUGAGUGAUCUUCCUGCAGAUCCAACCUGGAUCUGCCCCAGGUGGUUGUCCAGGUAGCAAGUCAUUUUAUCCCCACCCUGGAGGCUCUCUGCUCUCUCUUCUAACACAUCUUUACAUCUUUCAUUUCUGCAGUCCCAAUCUUUUUCUUUCUGGAUUUAUUGCCACAUUUGGUAUAGUCUAUUUCCCAACAGCUUUUGGGAAAGGAAGAAUUGCAGGAGAAUUUAGGGAGAAUUUCUGUGUCUGAAGAGAUCUUAUUUCUUCCUUGCACUUACUUGCUUCUGGGUUGCAAUAAUUUUUUCUCAAUAUUUUGAAACCAUUCUCCAUUGUUAUUUAGCUCACAAUAGAACUGUGAAGAGUUCGAUAAUAUUCUGAUUUUGAUCUUUCACACAAAACCUUUUUUUUUUUUCCCAAUGAAAAUCUUUGGGUCUUCUUUUUCUCUUCUGUGACCUGAAAUUUCACAGUGGUGUUGUCUUAGUUGGUUCAGGCUGAUAUUACCGUAGAUUGAGUGCCUCAUAAACAAUAUUUAUUCCCCAUAGUUCUGAAGGCUUUAAGUCCAGGAUCAGGAUGCCAGUAUUGUCAGGUCUGGCAAAGGCCCUCUUCUGAGAUGCAGACUGCCAACUUUGGGUUUUGUCCACAUUUGAUGGAAGGGGCUAGGGAUCUCUGUGGAGUCUUUCAUAAGAGCACUAGUACCAGGGCACCUGGGUGGCUCAGUUGGUUAAGUGUCUGCCUUCAGCUCAGAUCAUGAUCCCAGGGUCCUGGGAUCAAGCCCUGUGUCAGGCUCCCUGCUCAGUGGGAAGUCUGCUAACCCUCCUCCUGCUUGUGCUCUCUCCUUCUCUCUCUCUCUCAAAUAAAUAAGAUAUUUUUUAAAAAGAGUGCUAAUCCCAUUUCAAAGUCUCCACCACCAUGAUCCAAAUCCUUCCCAAAGGCCCCACUUCUUACUACUAUCAGCUGGGGGGUUAGGUAUUAAUACUUGAAUUUGGAGGGACACAAACGCUUGAGAGACCCUGGGUCUAUUUUCACUUAUCAACUCCUUGAGUGUGGCCAGGACCUGUGACUUACUUUGAGCAAUAGAAUGUGGUAGAAGUAUGUGCUGUCACUCCCUUGAUUACCUCAUGCCAUAUUCUGUUUUAAAAGCAGACAGGAGUAAGAGACUCUUCUUGCAGGCAUAAGGGUAUAAGUAGCCAUGUAGGAGAAUCCCAUGUGGCAGGGAAGUAGAGAGGACCUCUAGGGUCUCAGGGUGUCCUCUGGGCAACAGUCAGCAAAAAUUCAAGGUUCUCAUCCCCACAACUACAAGCAAAUGAAUUAUAUCAACCACUUGAUGGAGCUGGAGUUUCCCAGUCAAGCCUCCAGCUGAAAAUGCAGCCCUGAUUACAGUCCUGUGAGACCCUGAGCAGAGGACCCAGUUAGCUGCACCUGGACUCCUGGUCCAUUGAACCUGUGCGAUAAUAAACAUGUGUUGUUUCAAGCUUGUAAGCUUGUAGCAAUUUUUAAAUUCCACAAUAGCAACGAUUGCAAUGUCUUACUCUUUCGGACUCUUUGUUUUUAGUAGCAUUUGGGGAAGGAGCUGAGGUGAAUAUUGUGUGUAAUCAAUGGGUUAGAGAAACACGACAUAUGAUGUGAUCAAACACACUUUUUAAAAAAAAUCAUCCUUAUAAAAUUAAUUGAGUGGGUAAAGCUUUUGCUUCCCACCCGGUACGUUCCAGUUAUCACUCCAACGUGUUCUGCCCAACGCAGCACUGUGGUCACUUUCAAUAGCUAACAUGCUCUCAGUUUGGUGAUGAGCAUGUCCAAUCUCAUGUAAUAGUAAUAAAUACAAAUAAUGUUGUGUUAAAUUUCUCUUCUCCCCCAACAGAGUCCUGCUUUGGGUUGACUGUUUGCACUGGCACAGCUUUGCUGAUGGACAUUUUUGCUUAGAUUUUCUUAUGCCCAUCUUGGGCACUGAGGCUUCUGACCUCCUUUCUCUCAAGUUCAGGAAAGACUUGUUAUAAGACUGGGCUGCCUUCACACAGUGUCAGGUUUCUCUGGAUAAUAAGGUGCAUUUGGGAGCUCUUCAGAAAUUUCGGAUCCCUGACCUCUCUCACAUGUAAUUCCUUCAACUCAUGCAAAUUCAUCUGUAUUCUGUGUGCUCACUUAGGACUCCUUCCUUGUCCCCUAAUCUGGCUUCAUCUCUACCUUCUUGCUGCUCCACCACUUUGAGUGGCCCUGUGUCACACAGUACUCAAGCCAAACCCAUAUUGUCUCUCUUACUUGCUGGUCUCACCAUGCACCACAUGUAGGGGAAGCACACAGACACGCUUCACCUGCCAAAGCCUAGGCGCGGAGGCUGGUUUCAAUGCAGAGACCAUUCAGGAUCCCACUGCUAAGAGCUAUGGCCCCGGUUCCAGGCAAGCAUCAGAACCCUCCUUUUCUCCUCCCAGUCAGCCAUGUGAUCUAAGGGAGGGCAGAGAAAUCUUUCAUUAAGUUUGUCAAGGGACAAGCAUCUCUUCUUCUCUCACCUUCUGGAGUAGACGAGAAGGUUCGUGGAGCAGCUUUCUCCGAGGAAAUUCUCAAAAUUUUUUUUUUCUUUUGAUUUGUUCAUCUCUGUAGAGUAUGAAACCAUCUACUGGUUCCCCCAUCAUUUCCUAUCUCAUUUUAGCAUUUCACGUGUGCUGCAUCUUGGUGCCACGGGGAACCUUACAUUUUCGCUUGCUGUAUGUAUGCCUAUUUCAUCCACGACCAUUAACUAGAAAUCCCUCCUUCCUUUCCAUUUGAAUAUGAUGAAGGCUACUCGUGUCGGGAGACUAACAGAUACUUCAGACUUUAU
Molecule: long non-coding RNA, 4703 nt
Filed under: Mustela putorius furo (domestic ferret)
Lineage: Eukaryota; Metazoa; Chordata; Mammalia; Carnivora; Mustelidae
Description: lncRNA (ENSMPUG00000026854.1)
Source: RNAcentral